Molecule: ribosomal RNA, 385 nt
Filed under: uncultured bacterium
Lineage: Bacteria
Description: bacterial SSU rRNA
Rfam family: Bacterial small subunit ribosomal RNA
Source: RNAcentral
AUUGAACGCUGGCGGAAUGCUUUACACAUGCAAGUCGAACGGCAGCGGACCUUCGGGUGCCGGCGAGUGGCGAACGGGUGAGUAAUAUAUCGGAACGUACCUUUCAGUGGGGGAUAACGUAGCGAAAGUUACGCUAAUACCGCAUAUUCUGUGAGCAGGAAAGCAGGGGAUCGCAAGACCUUGCGCUGAUUGAGCGGCCGAUAUCAGAUUAGCUAGUUGGUGAGGUAAAGGCUCACCAAGGCGACGAUCUGUAGUGGGUCUGAGAGGAUGAUCCGCCACACUGGAACUGAGACACGGUCCAGACUCCUACGGGAGGCAGCAGUGGGGAAUUUUGGACAAUGGGCGCAAGCCUGAUCCAGCCAUGCCGCGUGAGUGAAGAAGGCCU